AACGAACGCUGGCGGCAUGCCUAACACAUGCAAGUCGAACGAGACCUUCGGGUCUAGUGGCGCACGGGUGCGUAACGCGUGGGAACCUGCCUUUAGGUUCGGAAUAACUCAGAGAAAUUUGAGCUAAUACCGGAUGAUGUCUUCGGACCAAAGAUUUAUCGCCUUUAGAUGGGCCCGCGUUGGAUUAGCUAGUUGGUGGGGUAAAGGCCUACCAAGGCGACGAUCCAUAGCUGGUCUGAGAGGAUGAUCAGCCACACUGGGACCGAGACACGGCCCAGACUCCUACGGGAGGCAGCAGUGGGGAAUAUUGGACAAUGGGCGAAAGCCUGAUCCAGCAAUGCCGCGUGAGUGAUGAAGGCCUUAGGGUUGUAAAGCUCUUUUACCCGAGAUGAUAAUGACAGUAUCGGGAGAAUAAGCUCCGGCUAACUCCGUG
RNAcentral lists this ribosomal RNA (433 nucleotides) under uncultured bacterium. RNAcentral describes it as "partial 16S ribosomal RNA". It matches the Rfam family "Bacterial small subunit ribosomal RNA", at positions 29 to 507 of the family's 1533-position model. The record is from RNAcentral.